GGGGGCGACCUGGCUUCGACGGGGGCAUUGAAGUCUGAGACGCGUGCCGAGCUUGCUGGAUGACUCGUUAAACCGACCGGCAAAAACACAAAAGCCAACGACAACGUUGAGCUCGCUCUCGCUGCUUAACCAGCGUUAAGAGUGCGGUCCCCUGGGUCUCGGCCUGUGGGCUCAGAAGGACCGUCAUAAUGCAGGCUGGCUGACCGGGGCGCCCUGAACCCGGCUGGCGAGACUUUUCAGGGACCGGCCCGCAGCAUCCCGUCCGUGGGAGUCUGCGACGCCUAAAUCAAACCACGGACUACGCACGUAGGGUCGAAAGAUGGAAGGCUUUCGGACGCGGGUUCGAUUCCCGCCGCCUCCACUG
This 364-nucleotide transfer-messenger RNA is filed under the name Myxococcaceae. RNAcentral's name for it is "Aggregicoccus sp009659535 Standard tmRNA". It matches the Rfam family "transfer-messenger RNA". From Rfam's summary of the family: Bacterial tmRNA, also known as 10Sa RNA or SsrA, is named for its dual tRNA and mRNA-like properties. Its role is to liberate the mRNA from a stalled ribosome. The record is from RNAcentral. RNAcentral also lists the same sequence under 2 other names. Lineage: Bacteria; Pseudomonadati; Myxococcota; Myxococcia; Myxococcales.